CUUGGUCAUUUAGAGGAAGUAAAAGUCGUAACAAGGUCUCCGUUGGUGAACCAGCGGAGGGAUCAUUACAGAGUUGCAAAACUCCCUAAACCAUUGUGAACGUUACCUAAACCGUUGCUUCGGCGGGCGGCCCGGGUCCUUCCCGGCGCCCCUCGGCCCUCGCGGGCGCCCGCCGGAGGUAAACCAAAUUAUUGCAUUGUAUGGCCUCUCUGAGUCUUCUGUACUGAAUAAGUCAAAACUUUCAACAACGGAUCUCUUGGUUCUGGCAUCGAUGAAGAACGCAGCGAAAUGCGAUAAGUAAUGUGAAUUGCAGAAUUCAGUGAAUCAUCGAAUCUUUGAACGCACAUUGCGCCCGCCAGUAUUCUGGCGGGCAUGCCUGUUCGAGCGUCAUUUCAACCAUCAAGCCCCGGGCUUGUGUUGGGGACCUGCGGCUGCCGCAGGCCCUGAAAUGCAGUGGCGGGCUCGCUGUCACUCCGAGCGUAGUAGUUACAUCUCGCUCUGGGCGUGCUGCGGGUUCCGGCCGUUAAAAGCCUUAUUUACCCAAGGUUGACCUCGGAUCAGGUAGGACACCCGCUGAACUUAAGCAUAUCAAUAAGCGGAGGA
This 603-nucleotide ribosomal RNA is filed under the name uncultured fungus. Its description in RNAcentral is "eukaryotic LSU rRNA". The stretch from base 237 to 390 matches the Rfam family "5.8S ribosomal RNA". The record is from RNAcentral. Lineage: Eukaryota; Fungi.